Musa acuminata subsp. malaccensis (wild Malaysian banana) is the source of this 1961-nucleotide non-coding RNA. The record is from RefSeq and is a predicted model, not a curated record. Lineage: Eukaryota; Viridiplantae; Streptophyta; Magnoliopsida; Zingiberales; Musaceae.
AGAAGAGGACACGUCAUCGCUUCAACUCGCCUCCUCCCUCCGUCUCGUCUCUUCCCAUAAAUGCAGAGAGCGAGCUUUCCGCAGCCUGUCAAUGCCGCAUUAAUUUCUUAAGCUUGUUUGCUUUGCUUUGCUUUGCUUCGCUUCUCGGAAAGGAAGCCUUCGCCAAAUCUUCUUACUGAUUCGAGGGUUUGGAGGAGGAGGCGAGGCGAGACGAGAGAGAGAAAACGGAAGCAUGCGAGGGAGACCGCUUUAGGGAAUAGGGGGGGGUAUGGGAUUUUGGCGAUGUCGGACGAGAAGCCGCCGGUAGAGAUCUGCAAGGGCGUGAAUGACCUCGACAAGGUGGUGCUUAGGGGCCUCCGCGGGAGCUCGGCAGAGGUGUAUUUAUAUGGGGGUCAUGUAACAUCUUGGAAAAAUAACCAUGAUGAGGAGUUGCUUUUUCUCAGCAGUAAGGCUAUAUUCAAGCCUCCAAAAGCUAUACGUGGGGGCAUCCCGAUAUGCUUUCCACAAUUUGGAAGCCAUGGAAAUCUUGAACAGCAUGGGUUUGUAAGGAAUAGGUUUUGGAGUAUUGAUAGGAGCCCUCCUCCUCUUACAGUUAGCUGCAAUAAAGCUUUCGUCGAUUUGAUCUUUAAACCAAGUGAAGAAGAUCUCAAGAUAUGGCCUUAUAGUUAUGAAUUUCGUCUAAGGAUUACCAUAGGACCUGGAGGAGAUCUAAUGCUGACAUCACGGAUAAAAAAUACUGAUGGAAGGCCAUUCUCCUUCACAUUUGCCUACCGCACUUACUUUUCCAUAUCUGAUAUUAGUAAAAUUUUCAGUGAAGUGCGAAUCGAAGGACUGGAGACUCUUGAUUACCUUGACAAUCUAAAAAGCAGGGAACGUUUCACAGAACAAUGUGAUGCUAUUACUUUUGAAUCUGAAGUGGAUAGGAUAUAUCUGGAGACACCAACUAAGAUUGCGAUUCUGGACCACGAAAAAAAGCAGACAUUUGUUUUGCGAAAAGAUGGGCUUCCUGAUGCAGUGGUAUGGAAUCCUUGGGAAAAAAAGGCCAAAUCCAUGAUGGAUUUUGGAGAUGAUGAAUACAAGCAUAUGCUGUGUGUGGAGGCUGCAGCUAUUGAAAAGGCCAUCACUCUAAAGCCUGGUGAGGAAUGGAAAGGAAGGCUGUAUCUAUCUGUUGUUCCAUCCUGUUAUCGUAGUGGGCAACUGGCUCCUUUGAGGGUUCUUCAAGGAUGAAAAUCAUGUCAGAAUCAAAAGUCUUAACAAUUUGACAGCAUCCAUUUCCAGCAGCGGCGGCGCCCAAUCCGAAACUUGGUCCUUCAGGUCUCUCGAAGCACUCAAGUCAAUUCAGAACAGUAGGUACGAUGACAAACUUGUCCAAGUGAGGCUAAUUCAAUUCCUGUUUCCGUUGGCAAAAUUUUGUCCCUCGUCCCAAGCUCUCCCGCUCUCCAACACAAGACAAUGUCAUUUGUCGGAGUGUCGAAGUCACAACCGAUGCUUGCAGCCAAUCAACGAAACGGAGAACUCAGCCGCAAGCGUUCGCACCAACAACGUGCGUAAAUCUCCCCAAGCUCGACAAAUUCUAAAUGCCCAAAAGUACUACAGUCUACAGAGACGUUAAAAUAAUAAUAAAAAGGAGUUUGUGUAGGAAGCGAAAGAGAGAGAGAGAAAGGGGGAAACAGAAGAUAGCCAGUCGAGCGACUCCUUUGGUUCGAUCAAAUCCCAAUUCAACGCCCGGGACGAGAGAGAGCGAGGAGUAUAGCAGAAGCAGCAGCAGCAGCUACCGAAGGACGACGAAUUGAAGGAUUUCCCGUCCGCCGCCGGCGAUGAGCCCCGCAAUCCAAUACAAGCGGCUUGGGCUAUUACUUGGAGCUCCGUGGGGUUCUGCAGGUCAGUGUUUCACCUUUUACACAGAUAUCCUCCCACUAGGGAAGAACUGUGUUGCGUCCUGCUAGAAUGUGUGACAAAGG